This 796-nucleotide ribosomal RNA is filed under the name uncultured archaeon. Its description in RNAcentral is "bacterial SSU rRNA". It matches the Rfam family "Archaeal small subunit ribosomal RNA", at positions 85 to 879 of the family's 1478-position model. The record is from RNAcentral.
ACGGCUCAGUAACACGUGGAUAACCUGCCCUUGGGUCCGGCAUAACCCCGGGAAACUGGGGAUAAUUCCGGAUAACGCACAUAUGCUGGAAUGCUUUCUGCGUAAAAUGGAUUCGUCUGCCCAAGGAUGGGUCUGCGGCCUAUCAGGUAGUAGUGGGUGUAAUGUACCUACUAGCCUACGACGGGUACGGGUUGUGAGAGCAAGAGCCCGGAGAUGGAUUCUGAGACAUGAAUCCAGGCCCUACGGGGCGCAGCAGGCGCGAAAACUUUACAAUGCGGGAAACCGUGAUAAGGGGACACCGAGUGCCAGCGUCAUACGCUGGCUGUCCAGGUGUGUAAAAUACACCUGUUAGCAAGGGCCGGGCAAGACCGGUGCCAGCCGCCGCGGUAACACCGGCGGCCCGAGUGGUGAUCGUGAUUAUUGGGUCUAAAGGGUCCGUAGCCGGUUUGGUCAGUCCUCCGGGAAAUCUGACAGCUUAACUGUUAGGCUUUCGGAGGAUACUGCCAGACUUGGAACCGGGAGAGGUAAGAGGUACUACAGGGGUAGGAGUGAAAUCUUGUAAUCCCUGUGGGACCACCUGUGGCGAAGGCGUCUUACCAGAACGGGUUCGACGGUGAGGGACGAAAGCUGGGGGCACGAACCGGAUUAGAUACCCGGGUAGUCCCAGCCGUAAACGAUGCUCGCUAGGUGUCAGGCAUGGCGCGACCGUGUCUGGUGCCGCAGGGAAGCCGUGAAGCGAGCCACCUGGGAAGUACGGCCGCAAGGCUGAAACUUAAAGGAAUUGGCGGGGGAGCAC